GGCUCAGUGGUCUAGUGGUAUGAUUGUCGCUUCGGGUAGUGUUCCCAGGCCUCCUUAGAGGUCUAAGAAAGCUGUAUGCUUGAAAUGUGACAGGCCCCGGGUUCGAUCCCCGGCUGAGCCC
This 121-nucleotide transfer RNA is filed under the name Macrophomina phaseolina. RNAcentral describes it as "tRNA-Pro". RNAcentral also lists the same sequence under 1 other name. Lineage: Eukaryota; Fungi; Ascomycota; Dothideomycetes; Botryosphaeriales; Botryosphaeriaceae. The record is from RNAcentral.